RNAcentral lists this ribosomal RNA (468 nucleotides) under uncultured bacterium. Its description in RNAcentral is "partial 16S ribosomal RNA". It matches the Rfam family "Bacterial small subunit ribosomal RNA", at positions 28 to 507 of the family's 1533-position model. The record is from RNAcentral.
GACGAACGCUGGCGGCGUGCUUAACACAUGCAAGUCGAACGGAAAGGCCCUGCUUUUGUUGCGUGCUCGAGUGGCGAACGGGUGAGUAACACGUGAGUAACCUGCCCCUGACUUUGUGAUAACUCUAGGAAACUCGGGCUAAUAUCGGAGAUGAGCUCUUGCUCCACGGGGGGGGUUGGAAAGUUUCGGCGGUUGGGGAUAGACUCGCUGGUUAUCAGCUUGUUGGUGGGGUAGUGGCUUACCAAGGCUUUGAAGGGUAGCCGGCCUGAGAGCGUGGACGGCCACAUUGGGACUGCGAUACGGCCCAGACGCCUACGGGAGGCAGCGGUGGGAAAUAUUGCACAAUGAGCCCAAGCGUGAUGCAGCAACGCCGGGUGCGGGAUGACGGCCUUCGGGUUGUAAACAGAUUUGGCCUGUACCGAAGCGUGAUUGACGGUAAUGGGUAAAGAAGCACCGGCUAACUACGUG